UAUUAGUGAUAUUAUAAGUGUUUGCUAUUACAAAUUAAUUGUUCUUUAAUAAUAUAUAAAAAUUGUAAUAUCUUUGUUUCUUCAAGUUGUUA
RNAcentral lists this unclassified non-coding RNA (92 nucleotides) under bacterium endosymbiont of Nycterophylia coxata. Its description in RNAcentral is "16S-23S ribosomal RNA intergenic spacer". The record is from RNAcentral.